GUGAAACAACUUUUUGAUUCAAAUUAGGAUUGAUUGGCAAAGAAAUUGAGUGAUAAAGAGUAGCCAAGAUUGAUUAUGCAGAGAAAUGAUAGAUAAAGUUAGAUGAAGAUGGUUCCUUCACCAUAAACUCAAUUAAUGGAAGCAAAAUGAUUCAUUCAUCAUAAACUCAAAUCAUGGAAGCAAAAUGAUACUUUCACCCCUUCACCAGUAAUCAAUAUUUUCACUGCCUUCAUGUUCUAAUUCAAAUCCUUCACCCCUUGAAUGGUUGCAUAGCUGAUCCAAAACCACCAAUUUCUUCAUGUCCAAAAGCAACUCUUGUUCGCAAUAGGAAUUUGCGAUUGAAACCUUACAAAUGACCCUUCACAACCCUUGUUCACUGGUA
Molecule: long non-coding RNA, 382 nt
Filed under: Trifolium pratense (red clover)
Lineage: Eukaryota; Viridiplantae; Streptophyta; Magnoliopsida; Fabales; Fabaceae
Description: long non-coding RNA (TPRA_LNC013517)
Source: RNAcentral